RNAcentral lists this ribosomal RNA (808 nucleotides) under uncultured Clostridia bacterium. RNAcentral describes it as "bacterial SSU rRNA". It matches the Rfam family "Bacterial small subunit ribosomal RNA", at positions 62 to 886 of the family's 1533-position model. The record is from RNAcentral. Lineage: Bacteria; Bacillati; Bacillota; Clostridia.
UGAAACUUAACUGAUCUCUUCGGAGUGAAAUUAAGUGGAUUAGUGGCGGACGGGUGAGUAACGCGUGAGUAACCUGCCUUAGAGAUGGGGAUAGCCUCUGGAAACGGAGAAUAAUACCCAAUGAUACCAAGUUAUCGCAUGGUAGCCUGGCCAAAGAUUUAUCGCUCUAAGAUGGACUUGCGUCUGAUUAGCUAGUUGGUGAGAUAAUGGCUCACCAAGGCAACGAUCAGUAGCCGGCUUGAGAGAGUGUACGGCCACAUUGGGACUGAGACACGGCCCAGACUCCUACGGGAGGCAGCAGUGGGGAAUUUUGCACAAUGGGGGAAACCCUGAUGCAGCGACGCCGCGUGAUUUAGAAGGCCUUCGGGUUGUAAAAAUCUUUUGUAUAGGAAGAAAAUGACAGUACUAUACGAAUAAGGACCGGCUAAUUACGUGCCAGCAGCCGCGGUAAUACGUAAGGUCCGAGCGUUGUCCGGAAUCAUUGGGCGUAAAGGGUACGUAGGCGGGUAAGCAAGUUAGAAGUGAAAUCCUAUAGCUCAACUAUAGUAAGCUUUUAAAACUGCUCAUCUUGAGGUAUGGAAGGGAAAGUGGAAUUCCUAGUGUAGCGGUGAAAUGCGCAGAUAUUAGGAGGAAUACCGGUGGCGAAGGCGACUUUCUGGCCAUAACCUGACGCUGAGGUACGAAAGCGUGGGUAGCAAACAGGAUUAGAUACCCUGGUAGUCCACGCCGUAAACGAUGAGUGUUAGGUGUCUGGAGUAAAUCUGGGUGCCGCAGCUAACGCAUUAACACUCCGCCUGGGGAGUACGCA